Unclassified non-coding RNA from Gorilla gorilla gorilla (western lowland gorilla), 126 nucleotides. It matches the Rfam family "Y RNA". Rfam says of the family: Y RNAs are components of the Ro ribonucleoprotein particle (Ro RNP), in association with Ro60 and La proteins. The Y RNAs and Ro60 and La proteins are well conserved, but the function of the Ro RNP is not known. Lineage: Eukaryota; Metazoa; Chordata; Mammalia; Primates; Hominidae. The record is from Ensembl.
GAGAAGUAAGACAGAAGAGGGAAGGAAGCCAAUACAAGGGGAUUUCAAAAAGUUCAUGGAAUCACAACCAGUUACAGAUUUCUUUGCUCCUUUUCCACUCCCACUGCUUCACUUGACGAGCCUAAA